UUGGAGGGCAAGUCUGGUGCCAGCAGCCGCGGUAAUUCCAGCUCCAAUAGCGUAUAUUAAAGUUGUUGCAGUUAAAAAGCUCGUAGUUGAAUUUCGGGAUCAAUGUUUCGGUCAUGCCGUUGGUAUGUACUGAUAUUAUUGGUUUCUCACCUUCUAAAGAACCGUAAUGCCAUUAAUUUGGUGUCACGGGGAAUUAGGACUGUUACCUUGAAAAAAUUAGAGUGUUUAAAGCAGGCUCACGCUUGAAUACAUUAGCAUGGAAUAAUGAAAUAGGACAUCCGAUUCUAUUUUGUUGGUUUCUAGGAUCGAUGUAAUGAUUAAUAGGGAUAGUUGGGGGCAUUAGUAUUCAAUUGUCAGAGGUGAAAUUCUUGGAUUUAUUGAAGACUAACUACUGCGAAAGCAUUUGCCAAGGAUGUUUUCAUUAAUCAAGAACGAAAGUUAGGGGAUCGAAGACGAUCAGAUACCGUCGUAGUCUUAACCAUAAACUAUGCCGACUAGGGAUCGGGUGAUGUUAAUUUUUUAAUGACUCAUUCGGCGCCUUACAGGAAACCAAAGUGUUUGGGUUC
RNAcentral lists this ribosomal RNA (566 nucleotides) under uncultured Glomeromycotina. Its description in RNAcentral is "SSU rRNA". It matches the Rfam family "Eukaryotic small subunit ribosomal RNA", at positions 548 to 1114 of the family's 1831-position model. The record is from RNAcentral. Lineage: Eukaryota; Fungi; Glomeromycota.